GACGAACGCUGGCGGCGUGCUUAACACAUGCAAGUCGAGCGGUAAGGCCCUUUCGGGGGUACACGAGCGGCGAACGGGUGAGUAACACGUGGGUGACCUGCCCUCAGCUCUGGGAUAAGCCUGGGAAACCGGGUCUAAUACCGGAUAUGACUCCAUGACGCAUGUUGUGGGGUGGAAAGCCUUGUGCGGCUGAGGAUGGGCCCGCGGCCUAUCAGCUUGUUGGUGGGGUGAUGGCCUACCAAGGCGACGACGGGUAGCCGGCCUGAGAGGGCGACCGGCCACACUGGGACUGAGACACGGCCCAGACUCCACGGGAGGCAGCAGUGGGGAAUCUUGCGCAAUGGGCGAAAGCCUGACGCAGCGACGCCGCGUGAGGGAUGACGGCCU
This 387-nucleotide ribosomal RNA is filed under the name uncultured bacterium. RNAcentral's name for it is "bacterial SSU rRNA". It matches the Rfam family "Bacterial small subunit ribosomal RNA", at positions 28 to 417 of the family's 1533-position model. The record is from RNAcentral.